This 118-nucleotide ribosomal RNA is filed under the name uncultured bacterium. Its description in RNAcentral is "partial 16S ribosomal RNA". It matches the Rfam family "Bacterial small subunit ribosomal RNA", at positions 1383 to 1500 of the family's 1533-position model. The record is from RNAcentral.
GUACACACCGCCCGUCACACCAUGAGAGUCGAUAACACCCGAAGCCUGUAGUCUAACCAUAAGGAGGACGCAGUCGAAGGUGGGAUUGAUAAUUAGGGUGAAGUCGUAACAAGGUACC